RNAcentral lists this ribosomal RNA (468 nucleotides) under uncultured bacterium. Its description in RNAcentral is "partial 16S ribosomal RNA". It matches the Rfam family "Bacterial small subunit ribosomal RNA", at positions 28 to 507 of the family's 1533-position model. The record is from RNAcentral.
GACGAACGCUGGCGGCGUGCUUAACACAUGCAAGUCGAACGGAAAGGCCCUGCUUUUGUGGGGUGCUCGAGUGGCGAACGGGUGAGUAACACGUGAGUAACCUGCCCUUGACUUUGGGAUAACUUCAGGAAACUGGGGCUAAUACCGGAUAGGAGCUCCUGCUGCAUGGUGGGGGUUGGAAAGUUUCGGCGGUUGGGGAUGGACUCGCGGCUUAUCAGCUUGUUGGUGGGGUAGUGGCUUACCAAGGCUUUGACGGGUAGGCGGCCUGGGAGGGUGACCGGCCACAUUGGGACUGAGAUACGGCCCAGACGCCUACGGGAGGCAGCAGUGGGGAAUAUUGCACAAUGGGCGGAAGCCUGUUGCAACAGCGCCGCGUGCGGGAUGACGGCCUUCGGGGUAUAAACCGCUUUCGCCUGUGACGAAGCGUGAGUGACGGUAAUGAGUAAAGAAGCACCGGCUAACUACGUG